GCGAGCGAACCGGGAAGAGUCCAGCGCCGAAUCCCCGCCGUCGAGAGCGCGGCGGGGAAAUGUGGCGUACGAGAGGCGGCGUGCCGUCGGCGACGUCCCCGGAGCAAGUCCCCUUGAUCGGGGCGAGCUUCUAGCGACCAGAGCGGGUGCGAGUCCCGUGGCCCGGGGUUUACUGACCGGCGGAGUGUCGUCUCUCGCGAGUCGGGUUGCUUGAGAGUGCAGCCCUAAGAAAGGUGGUAAACUCCAUCUAAGACUAAAUACGGCCUCGAGACCGAUAGCGAACAAGUACCGUGAGGGAAAGUUGCAAAGAACUUUGAAGAGAGAGUUCAAGAGUACGUGAAACUGCUCAGAGGAAAACGGGUGGGCGUUCGAAGCCCCCGUCGGCAGUCUUUUCCGGAUUCAGUUCUCCCGGUUGGUCGUCUCUGUCGGUUGUCCCCCGCGGAAAUAAUUCUGCUUUCCGCUUCACGGCGGUCUGUGGACGCGGGGGCACUGGCGGGCGGCUCGGUCAUACGGAGGACGCAUUUCCGGAGUUGCCGGUCAGCCACUGGGCGCCGCGAUCGAUCGGGCACCGAAGAGUGCCGACCACCGGCCGGGUCGUUGCGGAUCAGGGUUCCCGCUCGCUUCGCGUUCGCCUCGGCGUUCGCGUUUUGCGUCGGUGUUCCCCCGAACCUCGGCAUUCCAAACGGUGGCCGGUCGCCCGAUCGGGACUUGAAUCAGUUGCAGGCAGAGGUGCCCUCUCCUCGUUGCGUCGGCGUCUCCAUCGGUCGAUUCGCAUGCCGGUCACUCCUCACGGGGUUUCCGCGCGGCAGUCGGCUGCGAGCGCGCUUCGCAUGUUCGAGAGUUUUGAAAGAGGAGGGAGGAGGUGCUGCCGUCGCGGCGAGCGUCUCGGUGUCCCNNNNNNNNNNNNNNNNNNNNNNGACCAAGGAGUCUUACCCGUGCGCGAGUCGCAGGGUCUUGUUCAGGCCCCGUGGCGAAGCGAAAGCGAAGCCGAGACUUCCGAAACGUAAAAGUCGAGGAAAGCAUCGGCGGCCCGGCGGUGCGGUCGGUUUCGCUCGUCGGAUUGAAUCUUUCCGGCUUGCGUCCGGCUCGUCGGAGUCUGAGCGCACGAGUAAGUACCCGAAAGAUGGUGAACUAUGCCCGGCCAGGGCGAAGCCGGAGGAAACUCCGGUGGAGGCCCGAAGCGGUUCUGACGUGCAAAUCGAUCGUCGGAGCGAGGUAUAGGGGCGAAAGACUAAUCGAACCAUCUAGUAGCUGGUUCCCUCCGAAGUUUCCCUCAGGAUAGCUGGCAUUCGUUGAAACAGUCUCUUCUCGUAGAGAGAAUGAAUAGAGGCCCUGGGGCCCUAGACGACCUCAACCUAUUAUCAAACUACUACGAGGUGCGUCAGCCGUUUUCCUGCCGAGUUUCGAGGAACGGCUUAA
The sequence is a ribosomal RNA, 1419 nucleotides long. It matches the Rfam family "Eukaryotic large subunit ribosomal RNA", at positions 89 to 1109 of the family's 3401-position model.